RNAcentral lists this long non-coding RNA (596 nucleotides) under Androctonus crassicauda. The record is from RNAcentral. Lineage: Eukaryota; Metazoa; Arthropoda; Arachnida; Scorpiones; Buthidae.
AUUUUGCCAUUUUAGAAAUAUCAAAAUAAAACAAUUUUACAUAAACUAAUUAAAAAUAUAAUAGAGUAUUUGUUUUUAUGAAAUAAUUAUUAUUUAUAAUAAAAUGUUGAUGAAAUGAGCAUUAGAAUUACAUAAAAUCAUAGCUUUUUAUGUGUUUGUAUGUACCAGUAUGGCAUACUGGCCCUAUUUCUGAAAUUUGAUUAUGAUGGCACAUAGCCAGUCAGUUGAAUGCACUCAGGUAGUAAAAAGUACCAGCACCUGAUUUUUUUACAAAAAAAAGUCUAUAUAAAGCAUUUCAAGUUAGUAAACUUUUUGAAUCUCCAUCAAUUUUCCUGUAUAAAUAAUAUAUUUACAUUUCAGAAUAUGCUUAUAAAUAGUAUAUAUUUCAAAAGUGUAUUAAAAUCUGAUAUCUCAAAUAUUUUUGUUUAUAAAAUAUAUUAAAAAACAAUAGGUUAAGAUUAAAAUAAAAUAGAGGAUUAGAAGCAUCCUAAAAAUAAGAUUGCAAGUGUCAAAUUUAAAAAUAGAAAAACAUGUACUGCACUAUUGACAGCACACUAUUAGAAUUCUCUCUAUAUUUUUGUCCUCUUCUGUGCACG